RNAcentral lists this unclassified non-coding RNA (1104 nucleotides) under Rhagoletis pomonella (apple maggot). RNAcentral describes it as "neurofibromin-like, transcript variant X3". The record is from RNAcentral. Lineage: Eukaryota; Metazoa; Arthropoda; Insecta; Diptera; Tephritidae.
GGCGCGAAGGUUUUAUUUAAAACACAACGCUCAUUUUCGGUGCCGACCACCAAAGAACCGAAUAAUUCGAGCGCUAUCGAAGAACGUCAGGAGCGCGGCUCGCGUUCAUCUGUCUCAAAUGAGUCGAAUGUGCUGCUAGAUCCUGAAGUGCUCUCCGAUUUGUCCACCCAGGCAUUGGUGUUGACCGUUUUGGCCACAUUGGUGAAAUAUUCAACGGAUGAGAACGAGACGCGCGUGCUCUAUCAGUACCUAGCCGAGGGUUCGGUGGUUUUCCCCAAGGUUUUUCCAGUUAUCCAUUCUCUGCUGGAUCAGAAGAUCAAUAAUAUACUCUCUGUUUCACAUGAUCAAGUCGUUUUGAAUUCAGUACAAAGUAUCAUACAAAAUAUGCUGGCCAGCGAGGACCCCUCACAGCAGCAGUUACAUUUUCUGCAAAGUUGCGGUUUUGGUGGACUCUGGCGUUUCGCCGGACCCUUUACAAAGUACAACAUGAUGGGCGAAUCAUCUGAGUUAUUCGUUAACUGCUUGGAGGCUAUGGUAGAGACAUGUCUGCCGGGUGAUGAUGCAGUGCCGGUGCCACCAUCUCCACGUCCAUACAAUUUAAGUUCGAGCCUGAGCAGUCUGACUUUGGGCUCACCAACAGAUAAAGUUGAGUUCUGUUGGAAAUUAACGCCGUAGAUAUUUCGUAUCCAGUCUGUGCGUGCGAACUCGUAUUUUAAAGCUUUUAUCUAGCCAAAUUUGUAUUUGUUUUCUAAUCAUCAUGUAUUGAGUGGCAUCUAGUUAAGAGUUAUGGCACUUUUGAAGCGCCCAAAACGGAGCCUCACAUACAUACAGCAGCAACAUAGAAUACUUAUAGGAGUACAUACCAACAAAAUUAAACAUCAACACGCAAAUCGGCUAAAAGCUAUGAGAACAUACAAAUGAGGCAAUCAACUUAACAAAAUCAAACACGCAAUUUACACAGCUUCCGCUUCUAAUACACACCACUGUGCCGCUGUUGUUCGCUCGUUUAGUAAUCUUUCUCAUCGGAAUCAUUAGAUCAUGAUAAUUUCGGCGGCAGUGUUAGCUCCCUGCGCCGCGCCUCAUGCAGCAAAGCACGCGCCAAAC